RNAcentral lists this ribosomal RNA (497 nucleotides) under uncultured bacterium. Its description in RNAcentral is "partial 16S ribosomal RNA". It matches the Rfam family "Bacterial small subunit ribosomal RNA", at positions 29 to 507 of the family's 1533-position model. The record is from RNAcentral.
AAUGAACGCUGGCGGCGUGCCUAAUACAUGCAAGUCGAGCGAACAGACGGGGAUUUUGCCUCUCUGACGUUACCGACGGAUGGGUGAGUAACACGUAGAUAACCUACAUUUAAGCCUGGGAUAACUUAAGGAAACCGGAGCUAACACCGGACAAUAUAUUGAACAGCAGGGUUCAUCCGUGAACGCCCGUUUUGCUGUCACUUAUACAUGGUUCCACGCCGCAUUAGCUAGUUGGUAAGGUAACGGCUUACCAAGGCAACGAUGCGUAGCUGAUCUGAGAGGGUGAUCAGCCACACUGGAACUGAGACACGGUCCAGACUCCUACGGGAGGCAGCAGUAGGGAAUCUUGCGCAAUGGGCGAAAGCCUGACGUAGCAACGCCGCGUGAGUGAUGAAGGUCUUCGGAUCGUAAAGCUCUUUUAGUAGGGAAGAACGAAUGUGUAAGAAACUAUGGACGUCUUGACGGUACCGAAGCAGAAAGCCACGGCUAACUUCGUG